CAGCAGCCACGGUAAUACGAGGGGGGCUAGCGUUGUUCGGAAUUACUGGGCGUAAAGCGCACGUAGGCGGAUAUUUAAGUCAGGGGUGAAAUCCCAGAGCUCAACUCUGGAACUGCCUUUGAUACUGGGUAUCUUGAGUAUGGAAGAGGUGAGUGGAAUUCCGAGUGUAGAGGUGAAAUUCGUAGAUAUUCGGAGGAACACCAGUGGCGAAGGCGGCUCACUGGUCCAUUACUGACGCUGAGGUGCGAAAGCGUGGGGAGCGAACAGGAUUAGAUACCCCCGUAGUCCCUGUCUCUUAUAC
This 301-nucleotide ribosomal RNA is filed under the name uncultured bacterium. RNAcentral's name for it is "partial 16S ribosomal RNA". It matches the Rfam family "Bacterial small subunit ribosomal RNA", at positions 509 to 807 of the family's 1533-position model. The record is from RNAcentral.